GCGGCGUGCCUAACACAUGCAAGUCGAACGGGACGAGAGGGAGCUUUGCUCCCUCAAAGGUUAGUGGCGGACGGGUGAGUAACGCGUGAGUAACCUGCCUUUUCAGAAGGGGAAUAACAUUCUGGAAAAGAAUAGCUAAUACCGUCAUAAUGUCACAGGUAUCGCAUGGUACAGUGACCAAAGGAGCAAUCCGCUGAAAGAUGGACUCGCGUCCGAUUAGCUAGUUGGCGGGAUAAAGGCCCACCAAGGCGACGAUCGGUAGCCGGACUGAGAGGUUGAUCGGCCACAUUGGGACUGAGACACGGCCCCAGACUCCUACGGGAGGCAGCAGUGGGGGAUAUUGCACAAUGGGGGAAACCCUGAUGCAGCAACGCCGCGUGAAGGAAGAAGGUCUUCGGAUUGUAAACUUCUGUCCUCAGGGAAGAUAAUGACGGUACCUGAGGAGGAAGCUCCGGCUAACUACGUGCCAGCAGCCGCGGUAA
Molecule: ribosomal RNA, 482 nt
Filed under: uncultured bacterium
Lineage: Bacteria
Description: bacterial SSU rRNA
Rfam family: Bacterial small subunit ribosomal RNA
Source: RNAcentral